Molecule: long non-coding RNA, 792 nt
Organism: Culex pipiens pallens (northern house mosquito)
Lineage: Eukaryota; Metazoa; Arthropoda; Insecta; Diptera; Culicidae
Exons: 2
Source: RefSeq, a predicted model, not a curated record
UUUCCCGCUUAGCCCAACCCAAAAGUCCAGUUUGAAACAUUCUUCAAGUCAUUGAGCACUUCUAGCUCAACUGUAGGGGUCGUCCAGGCAAAAAAAAAAAACGACGUAACAACAAUUUUCCCCAACCCAUUGCCCACUUAGCCCAACCCAUGAUGAUGAUAAAUAAGAGAGCACAUCCCCCAUGGGUUAAUGAUGCCAUCUUUUAGCUAAUUAAAUUCCCUACAAAACGCUUCUAACAGAUCUGAUAAAUUCGUUUCCCACGCGGAGAUAUCGCCCUGCAACCAUUUGUACUAACUGACAUUUUUGAACGCAUCCCCAAUCACGAGAAAUUCUAGCAGAGUUUGUUUUGCUAGAAUCCUGCUAGAAUAAUUCUAGCAGGCCUGUCAGAAUUUUGUCGGAAUUUUCUGACAGAGCGAAAUCUGACAGAAAUCUGUAAGAAUUUAGUUAGAAGACUCUGACAGAGCAAAACCAGCGAAAAUGACGUCAUUUUUGCUGAACCGCUUCGCAAUUUCCGACCACCAUCUUGAAAGCGAACGUGUUCGCACAAGUUUUGAUUGGUCUUCCAAUCGAAGAAGAUGCUGUUCCUGUAUAGUUCCGGUGCCGUUCCUUCAUCCACCCGUGCUGUGAAACAGGAACCGUGUGACGUCGGAGAACAUCCGGAUCUAGUAGGAAAACGACGACGAUGUCUGCACGGUGGCCAAGAACAUCGAAAUUCGGUGCCGACGGCGAGGAAAAAAGGGCCGGAUUCUUCGGACAGAAGAAAUGACGCAAGCUGCCUACUCCGCUGCAAGA